This 832-nucleotide long non-coding RNA is filed under the name Homo sapiens (human). Its description in RNAcentral is "HSALNT0040444". The record is from RNAcentral. Lineage: Eukaryota; Metazoa; Chordata; Mammalia; Primates; Hominidae.
CGGGCGGGCCCGGAUUUGCCGCCGCGCUUGGGAAGCCGCCACCGCCGCCGCUGCUGCAUGGCACUAGGCUCCCGGCGGGGCAGGUUCCGCAGCCGGCACCGCUCUGGCUAGGCGCACGGAGGCGCCUUGCUUAGUCUGACCCUUAUUUGGCCAGGCGUAAAACUUGUCCUGCCUAAAAGCCUACUGAGACCUCCUAACUGGUCUAAUCCGCGGGAGACGCCAAAGGCGGCGGCCGUUUGUGCGCACAGGAUUUUUCUUGGAGCUGUAGCAGUCUAGGAAGCCAGGGUGGAACUUUUGCUAAGCUCCCGUUGUAAGCCCAGAGCUGUAAUAACUGCUGAGACACAACCAGCAGUAUACAGGCUCCAGUUGGAAAUCGAGAACUUUCCAGGGCUGUCACCCAGGCUGGAGUGCAGUGGUGCCAUCACAGCUCACUGCAGCCUCGACCUCCUAGGCUAAAGUGAUCCUCCCAACUCAGCCUCCCGUAGCUGGGACUACAGGAAUGUGCCACGCCCAGGUCUAUCCAGCUGAAGUCAAAAAUGCCCCUCUCAGGCUGCCCCCAGUGACUCCAGUUUCCUAGCAGAGCCUAACCAGAUGGUAAACUCCUGCAAAGCAGAUUGUUUGGUUCUUCUUCCUUCACGGUGCCUGACCCAUCGUUCUGCAGAUAUUAGGAACUUUCUCCAAACCACCAAGCUUCCAACUGAGGUACAUGGGUCCUUGGAUGUGCAAGAAGGUGUACCAUGCACAUUGAGAGUUUAAACAAGUCCAUUUCCGGAUCCACAACACCCAUAUGAAUUUUUCCUCCAGAUGACCUCCCUCAGGAACAUGUCUGCAG